ACGAACGCUGGCGGCGUGCUUAACACAUGCAAGUCGCACGGAAAGGCCCUGCUUUUGUGGGGUGCUCGAGUGGCGAACGGGUGAGUAACACGUGAGUAACCUGCCCUUGACUUUGGGAUAACUUCAGGAAACUGGGGCUAAUACCGGAUAGGAGCUCCUGCUGCAUGGUGGGGGUUGGAAAGUUUCGGCGGUUGGGGAUGGACUCGCGGCUUAUCAGCUUGUUGGUGGGGUAGUGGCUUACCAAGGCUUUGACGGGUAGCCGGCCUGAGAGGGUGACCGGCCACAUUGGGACUGAGAUACGGCCCAGACUCCUACGGGAGGCAGCAGUGGGGAAUAUUGCACAAUGGGCGGAAGCCUGAUGCAGCAACGCCGCGUGCGGGAUGACGGCCUUCGGGUUGUAAACCGCUUUCGCCUGCGACGAAGCGUGAGUGACGGUAAUGGGUAAAGAAGCACCGGCUAACUACGUG
RNAcentral lists this ribosomal RNA (467 nucleotides) under uncultured bacterium. RNAcentral's name for it is "partial 16S ribosomal RNA". It matches the Rfam family "Bacterial small subunit ribosomal RNA", at positions 29 to 507 of the family's 1533-position model. The record is from RNAcentral.